GUCUACAUAAAAAAGAUGUAUGUAGUCUAACCUGCUCACUGAGUUUUAAGCUUAAAGAGCCGCGGUAUUUUGACCGUGCAAAGGUAGCAUAGUAAUUAGCUUUUUAAUUGAAAGCUUGUAUGAAUGGUUGAACAAGAGAAAUACUGUCUCUUUAUUAAAAUUUGAAUUUAACUUUUAAGUGAAAAGGCUUAAAUUUAUCAAGUGGACGAUAAGACCCUAUAAAGCUUUAUAAAUUUGGAAAAAUUUUUAAAAUUUAAUAAUAAAAAAAAAUUUUUUAGAAGUUAUUAUGUUGGGGCGACACAGAUAAAAAUUUAAGUAACUGUCAGGAAUAAAAACAAUUAUUUUUGGUUUUUAUGAUCCUUUACUAAAGAUUAAAAGAUUAAGUUACUUUAGGGAUAACAGCGUUAUUCUUUUUAAGAGUCCUUAUCAAAAAAAGAGUUUGCGACCUCGAUGUUGAAUCAUAAAAUCUUUGCAGUGCAGCAGCUGUAAGAAGAAGGUCUGUUCGACCUUUAAAAUUGUACG
RNAcentral lists this ribosomal RNA (522 nucleotides) under Mithraculus cinctimanus. Its description in RNAcentral is "partial 16S ribosomal RNA". It matches the Rfam family "Bacterial large subunit ribosomal RNA", at positions 1819 to 2600 of the family's 2925-position model. The record is from RNAcentral. Lineage: Eukaryota; Metazoa; Arthropoda; Malacostraca; Decapoda; Mithracidae.